UGCCCCGACCCUGCUCGCCGAGCCCUGCCUCUCCGGUUCUCCAUCCAUGUACGCUGUCGGGGACUUGCAGGUCCAAGCUUGCUGCUAUCAUCUUCAAUUUGCAGAAGAAAGUUGGGUCCUCACGGAGGGAAGGAAGGAUGUUUGCUAAUGUGGUUGGGUGGCUUUCUGUUUUUGGAAGGAGGAAGGUUUAUUCAGUCCAUCCUCCUGCCUCUCCCUGCACAAAAAAUGGUUCAUCCUUCAUUGGUAUGUUUGCAGCUAUGUAGGAGGUGAACGCAGAGACAACUGCGGGCUAGCUGCAGCUUCUGUUUGAGCAGAGGCGAUCGUUCCUUGCCGGAAUCGUAUUUCAUGUGAACCUCUCUGAAUUUUUCCACAUGUUUACAAGUAUCAGCCUGUGGUAUGCAGCUGCUCUGUUAGUUGUCUCUAUUAUUCUGAUGUCUCACCCCUUUUUUUGUUGCAAUUUUUUAGCUCUGCAUUGUAUAAUUGCUGCUAAUUCAAGUAUUGGAUUUUGUGCUUUACGGGAAACCACUUGAUCUGACCCCAAAACAGGAGAAAAUUAUGUAUAACAAGGCCAAUGAAAUCAAUGGUAGCCCCUGUUUCUAUCCCUAUUUCUCUGUCUGAAGCUGUUCUUUUAUUCAAUACAUAAGCAUCGACAGCUUACUAUUCCUAAAUUAGCUUCUAUGCAAUUUUAUUCAGAGUUGUGAUCUGGAUGGAUCUGGAUGUUUGUGAUUUUUAUGAUCCAUUAUUACACUUCAUUUGAUGUUGAAUGCAUCUGAGGUUCCAUGCAAUAGAUUAAAACCUGAAUUUCUCACCCACUGACAAUUUGGUAGAUGUUGAAUGGAUCUGGAUGAAGAGUUUGUGAUCUGGAGGGAUCUUGCUGUUUAUUUAGAUUAAAACUGAAGGGUAUACUUCAUUUGAAAUCUUACAUGCUAACAAUUCAG
RNAcentral lists this long non-coding RNA (938 nucleotides) under Triticum aestivum (bread wheat). RNAcentral describes it as "long non-coding RNA (TAES_LNC013436)". Lineage: Eukaryota; Viridiplantae; Streptophyta; Magnoliopsida; Poales; Poaceae. The record is from RNAcentral.